UUCUUACGGGGGGCAGCAGUGGGGAAUAUUGCACAAUGGGGGAAACCCUGAUGCAGCGACGCCGCGUGAGUGAAGAAGUAAUUCGUUACGUAAAGCUCUAUCAGCAGGGAAGAGAAUGACGGUACCUGAGUAAGAAGCCCCGGCUAACUACGUGCCAGCAGCCGCGGUAAUACGUAGGGGGCAAGCGUUAUCCGGAUUUACUGGGUGUAAAGGGAGCGUAGACGGCGGUGCAAGUCUGGAGUGAAAGGCAGGGGCCCAACCCCUGGACUGCUCUGGAAACUGUAGUGCUGGAGUGCAGGAGAGGG
RNAcentral lists this ribosomal RNA (305 nucleotides) under uncultured bacterium. RNAcentral describes it as "bacterial SSU rRNA". It matches the Rfam family "Bacterial small subunit ribosomal RNA", at positions 336 to 658 of the family's 1533-position model. The record is from RNAcentral.